GCGGCGUAUUAGCUAGUUGGUGAGGUAAAGGCUCACCAAGGCAGUGAUACGUAGCCGACCUGAGAGGGUAAUCGGCCACAUUGGGACUGAGACACGGCCCAGACUCCUACGGGAGGCAGCAGUAGGGAAUCUUCCACAAUGGACGCAAGUCUGAUGGAGCAACGCCGCGUGAGUGAAGAAGGGUUUCGGCUCGUAAAGCUCUGUUGUUAAAGAAGAACGUGGGUAAGAGUAACUGUUUACCCAGUGACGGUAUUUAACCAGAAAGCCACGGCUAACUACGUGCCAGCAGCCGCGGUAAUACGUAGGUGGCAAGCGUUAUCCGGAUUUAUUGGGCGUAAAGCGAGCGCAGGCGGUCUUUUAAGUCUAAUGUGAAAGCCUUCGGCUCAACCGAAGAAGUGCAUUGGAAGCUGGGAGACUUGAGUGCUGAAUAGGACAGUGUAACUCCAUGUGUAACGGUGACA
Molecule: ribosomal RNA, 461 nt
Filed under: Pediococcus pentosaceus
Lineage: Bacteria; Bacillati; Bacillota; Bacilli; Lactobacillales; Lactobacillaceae
Description: bacterial SSU rRNA
Rfam family: Bacterial small subunit ribosomal RNA
Source: RNAcentral